AGCAGCCGCGGUAAUUCCAGCUCCAAUAGCGUAUAUUAAAGUUGUUGCAGUCAAAAAGCUCGUAGUUGAAUUUCGGGAUUGACACAUCGGUCGUGCCUUAAGGGGUAUGAACUGGUGUAGCCAAUUUCUCACCUUCUGGAGAACCGCGAUGCCCUUAAUUGGGUGUCGCGGGGAACCAGGACCUUUACUUUGAAAAAUUAGAGUGUUUAAAGCAGGCAUUUUGCUUGAAUACAUUAGCAUGGAAUAAUAAAAUAGGACGGCAUGAUUCUAUUUUGUUGGUUUCUAGGAUCACCGUAAUGAUUAAUAGGGAUAGUUGGGGGCAUUAGUAUUCAAUUGUCAGAGGUGAAAUUCUUGGAUUUAUUGAAGACUAACUACUGCGAAAGCAUUUGCCAAGGAUGUUUUCAUUAAUCAAGAACGAAAGUUAGGGGAUCGAAGACGAUCAGAUACCGUCGUAGUCUUAACCAUAAACUAUGCCGACUAGGAAUCAGACGAUGUUAAUUUUUAAUGACUCGUUUGGCAC
Molecule: ribosomal RNA, 520 nt
Filed under: uncultured Entrophospora
Lineage: Eukaryota; Fungi; Glomeromycota; Glomeromycetes; Entrophosporales; Entrophosporaceae
Description: SSU rRNA
Rfam family: Eukaryotic small subunit ribosomal RNA
Source: RNAcentral